AAUGCUAUGCAGACAUAAUGGAAAUGGCAUUUACAUUGUAGAGCUUGGACAAAGUUCACACAGGCUCUGCGCAGGAAUUCAUCAAGGACAUGACUGCUGGGAUCACGCUUCUGGAUGACCAAACUGAGCACCAUCAGUCUGCAGUGAUGUGAUCCAGCCAUCCAGUGACAUUAAGGAUGUUGAGAAAGAAAUUGAAGAGGGCAUUCUGAUUGUAACUGAGGAGCAGCAAUGUGAUGUGCUUCCCAAGGAAUAACCAACAUUGGUCUCAUUUGGACAUCCUGUCAUCACUGACAUCUCCCAUGUCCCCAAGGCAUUUGGACUCCUAAUGGGUCUGUAUGCAGUGAACAUCCUCUACCUCCAGCGCAUUAAAUACACCAUUGAGGCUCUGCAAAAACUUGUGAAGACCAGCUGCUCCCACCAUGUGCUCGCUACAGCGGCAAGAACUGUAGGUGUGGGGGAGUGAAUGUCCAGCGCUCUCUCCACCCUCAACACCACAAAUAAGGUGUCCUUGAGCAAGGCACAACUUCUCCCCGGGUACUGCAGCAUAAAUGGCUGCCCACUGCUCUGGGUGUGUGUUCACGGUGUGUGUUCACUGCUGUGUGUGCACUUUGGAUGGGUUAAAUGAAGAGCACAAAUGUAUGUCAUGUCACUUUCACUUUUCAGUGUUCAUGAUGUGUCCAUCGGCUCCACAGCACUCUUU
This is a long non-coding RNA of Carassius auratus (goldfish), 700 nucleotides long. RefSeq lists it as uncharacterized. The transcript is spliced from 3 exons. The record is from RefSeq and is a predicted model, not a curated record. Lineage: Eukaryota; Metazoa; Chordata; Actinopteri; Cypriniformes; Cyprinidae.